This 460-nucleotide ribosomal RNA is filed under the name uncultured bacterium. RNAcentral's name for it is "partial 16S ribosomal RNA". It matches the Rfam family "Bacterial small subunit ribosomal RNA", at positions 338 to 795 of the family's 1533-position model. The record is from RNAcentral.
CCUACGGGAGGCAGCAGUGAGGAAUAUUGGUCAAUGGACGGAAGUCUGAACCAGCCAUGCCGCGUGCGGGAUGACGGCUCUAUGAGUUGUAAACUGCUUUUGUAUUAGGGUAACCACCCCUACGUGUAGAGGCCUGAAAGUAUAGUACGAAUAAGGACCGGCUAACUCCGUGCCAGCAGCCGCGGUAAUACGGAAGGUCCAAGCGUUAUCCGGAUUUAUUGGGGUUAAAGGGUGCGUAGGCGGGUUGAUAAGUUAGCUGUGAAAUACCGGUGCUCAACACCGGCCCCGCCUCUAAUACUGUUGAACUAGAGAGUAGUUGCGGUAGGCGGAAUGUAUGGUGUAGCGGUGAAAUGCUUAGAGAUCAUACAGAACACCGAUUGCGAAGGCAGCCUACCAAACUACAACUGACGUUGAGGCACGAAGGUGUGGGUAGCAAACAGGAUUAGAUACCCUGGUAGUC